UUGCAAACCGAAAAUUGUGAAAAGCAAUUAAAGAAACACUAAAAUUAUUUGUAGAAAAACAAUAGCUUUUUGAAGAGAGAGAAUUAGAACGAAAGAUCAAUACACUUUCUUCAGCCAUUGAUGGCCAGCCGUGUUCCCCGAGGAAACCUCCUGCGAAGCCUACGUUACUUCACCAGGCCUCUAAACUCGGCGGCCUCAUCCUCGGCCUUCUCAGCUCCGGCCGUUCCGCCGCUUAAUUUCGCCGAGAAAUCUGAUACGUCCGUCGUAGAGGAAUUCCAAACUGGAGGCCCCGGGGUGUUUGACGUGUACAACACUCAGAAACUGUUCUCUUCAAUUCCGACGAAGAGGCUGCUGAGGGCGUCGGCAAACCUCCACGUCGCGGCGAUCGAGUCCGUGGUAGACUUGGGAAUGUGGGUGAUGAAAUCUAAGCUGAUGGAGACGGAGUUGGUAAGGAACGUCGUUAUGGAAACCAUACGUCACACGUUUUUUGAGCAUUUUUGCGCCGGCGAGGACACGGCCGCCGCCGGCCAAACCAUCUUGAAGCUUCGCGAAGCCGGUCUAAGAGGUAUGCUGGUGUACGCGUUGGAGUACGCCGCCGAUAACGAGUCAUGCGAUCGUAAUCUUGAAGGCUUUCUUCGCACCGUUGAAUCAACCAAGUCUCUUCCUCCUUCCUCUGCGAGUUUCAUCAUUGUGAAAAUCACGGCAAUUUGCCCCAUGAGUGUGCUUGAGAAAGCCAGUGAUUUGCUUAGAUGGCAUCACCAGGACCCUUCGUUUGAUCUCCCAUGGAAGCUCGACAGCUUGCCCAUUUUCGCAGACUCCACCCCAAUGUACCACACCCUUAAAAAACCAGAACCAUUAACCCAAGAAGAAGAGAGAGACCUUCACUUAGGCUACGAGAGACUCCUCAAACUGUGUCAAAAAUGCGCCGAGGCCAAUGUCCCUCUCUCGGUUGAUGCCGAGCACACUUCGAUUCAACCCAUCAUUGACUAUUUAACGUAUGCUUCAGCGGUUGCGUACAAUAAAAAUGACAGUCCGAUUGUGUAUGGAACCAUCCAAACUUACCUCAAGGACGCAAAAGAUAGGUUGCUUCUGGCUACAAAGGCCGCUGAGGGAAUGGGAGUCCAAAUGGGGUUCAAAGUUGUGAGAGGAGCUUAUAUGUCCAGCGAGACCAAGAUAGCUACUUCUCUGGGCUAUGAAUCUCCCAUUCACAACAGUAUUCAGGACACUCAUGACUGUUACAACGACUGUGCUUCCUUCAUGCUCGAAAAAAUCGCUAAUGGGUCCGGCGCUUUGGUUCUUGCGAGCCAUAAUGUUGAGUCAGGGAGACUGGCCGCGGUGAAAGCCCGUGAUUUGGGGAUUGGAAAAGUGAACCAUAGGCUUGAAUUCGCGCAGCUUUAUGGGAUGGCAGAGUCGCUGUCGUUUGGUUUACGAAACGCAGGGUUUCAAGUGAGCAAGUAUAUGCCGUUUGGGCCUAUAGAUAUGGUGAUGCCUUAUCUUUUGCGAAGGGCUGAAGAGAAUAGGGGUCUCUUAUCUGCUUCCUCUCUUGACAGGCACCUCAUGAGUCAUUAGGGAAAAAAUGGUGACUACGUACGGUGUGGAUUAACUCCUCCGGACUAAAGUGACGAAUCUACAUAUAAAUUUUGAUCAUUCCAAGUGAACGAUUCGAUCGACACUACGUUGGGAUUGUAUUGGAACGGCAUAUAAUUUGACCAUUCGCUCACCCAAUCAAGUUUUCCUAAAAUGGCGAAGAGUGAUGGAGAAUAUGAUGAGAGAGACCCACCUAGCUAGGUCAUUUGGUGGACUGAAUUGAAGAGAAGACUGAAAGCAGCCAUCGUGGGAGCCUAGAAGCACCUCAACAACGGAGCUCAUUGAAUCGCACACACUACCAAAGUGUACAUAUAUAGGAUAAAUUGUGUUGGUGGUGUGCUAAGUAUUAGUACUUUAAUUAUGUCGUUUAGGUAAGGAAAGGCUACUUCCAUGUUGUGUAGCCUAAAUCUCCCACCCAACGUUUAGUGAUAAUAAAAGUAAACUACUAUAUUCAUGGUA
Molecule: RNA transcript, 2046 nt
Organism: Humulus lupulus (European hop)
Lineage: Eukaryota; Viridiplantae; Streptophyta; Magnoliopsida; Rosales; Cannabaceae
Gene name: proline dehydrogenase 2, mitochondrial-like
Exons: 5
Source: RefSeq, a predicted model, not a curated record